Long non-coding RNA from Anguilla rostrata (American eel), 1669 nucleotides. RefSeq lists it as uncharacterized. Lineage: Eukaryota; Metazoa; Chordata; Actinopteri; Anguilliformes; Anguillidae. The transcript has 2 exons. The record is from RefSeq and is a predicted model, not a curated record.
UCAAUCAACCACUUUAAAUCUAAAACUUUAGUCAGGGACACGUCUUCAGUUUUUUCCAAUUAAAUCACAGUUAAUUUCAAUAUUUCGCAUAAUUAAAUAAAAAUAAAGAACAGAAGAGCGGAUUGUCAAAGAGACGCUCAAGGACUAAAGAUCCAAUAAAUUCCGGAGAUAGGAUGACAGACAGCGGGCCUGACGCGGGGAGAUUUUUCAAAGCCACGCGCAGGUUCGUACGCUUCAGCUUGGAACUGUUCUGCACGAGCCUCCUGGAAACAAGCGGAAAUAAAGUGCGCUUUUAAAACAGCGGAAAUGCACGCGGCGAAAACCGACAGUUUGCAAAACGGCUCCCCGCGAGACACAUUUUCUGACGGCAGGACUCGUUUCUGCUUCCGCGGACGCCGGAGAGCGCGAGAUGAAUCCGGAGCCACGCCGGGCACGAGGGGAUUCAUAGGAAGUGUUUAUAUCACCGAAACCCGAUGAAAACAGCAAGUCGAACAUUAACUGAGCAGAGAGAAGAGAAGGAGCAAGAGACCCGCGAAACAUUAAAGCAGGAAAAUGCUUCCGACUCGCUUCGUCUUGCCCUCCGGCGUCAAAUCCAGCUCCAUGGAUAAAGGUGUUCCCGUAACUGUCGUACCCCGAGAUGAGCCGGGACGCCGCCCCCGUGGCGAUGGCGAAGCCGCAGAUGCACCACUGGGGGGGGUAAGGGGGGGGUGUUAGGGUUAGGGGCUGUCAUUCACCCACAGACAGGAGGAGCUUCCUGUGCAAGGUCACCAUUCUAAUGAUGCGUUCAGCCGGUCUUCAGCUCGGUAAAGCAGAAAACAUCCUCGUUUACCUCGUUUACCACCAGGAAGUUGCCAACAAAUGCCAGCGGUAAACUGGUGCAGGUUCCAUGAUAUCAGAGUUAACCGGUUGUGAUGUAUCACUGACCUCAGUCAGCCCGCUGUUACCAGUUUCUGGACAAUAGCAACAAUGUACCAGGUUACAUGGUAAAUAUAUCCAUAUAACUUUCAUUUAUUUAUCUGUCAUAAUGUGAUUAGGCAAACGUCAGGACUCAGCAGAGUUCAUGCCUGGCUUCCGUUAUUUACGUUUUGCAAUGGGCGAUCCCAUUGGUCCAGCCUCCUGACAUCUGAGCAGACCCUCUGCAUUGUUCACGUGAUUAACUUGCCAGUUGCCGAUGACCACACGAACGCAAACAGCUAGGAUGUACGACUUGGUCACGUGCUAAUUGUUUCCCACUUCACGAGACCGACAGAAAGCAGCAUGAGUGAGCUGGGCCCACGUGCAGCCGGCAGUGCGGCUCAGCGAGGCUCCGAUCCGUCAUAGCGAACCUCCGAUCCGUUUCAGGAUUUCACGCCCACUUCUGCUCUUAGUCGUUUAAUCACUUGUUUAAUCACGGACUAUUCGCUGGACAGAAAUGUUAUCGCUCAUUUGAGUUUCAGUUCUGAUCUUAGUUAUUUAUUAGCCGGGCCAUCUAUACGAACUGGCAUUUUUGAUACUGUAGCUUCGUGAGCUGCAACUUGCACAUGUAUCCUUGCUGAAGUUGUUUUUUCGUUUUUUUUUUUUUUUUUGGACUGUGGUAAACUCAUGUAGGACAAUAGUAAAAUGCAACUGUAUAAAAACAAUGCAAAAUUUAAAAAAUUAAAUAAAAAAAAACAGCAGACAAUAACACUCC